ACGUUGAUCAUGGAAGCUAUCAAACACACCAUCCCUGGCUAAGAAAACUGCCCUGGUCAUUGCCUCAAAGGAGAGAAGUGUCCCUAAGCUGUUGCCCAUCCAGACUCUGCUGUGUUUUGACCACGUGACCUGCACCCUCCUUUGGCCACGUGUGGUUGGACAGAGGCGGAUACCUUGCCCUGGACCUCCAUGCACAGACUGACUGGUAUUGUCUGAUGUGGUCCAGCUCAACCAACCCUGCCCAAAAAUGAGAUCUUUCAAAUUAGAUCUUUCUAUCUUUGGGAAUUGAUUUUGGAAAUAAAGUGAAAAUGAGCCAGCUGGUAGCAGGACAAGAAUCAUGAAGAUACCCUUAGAAGAGGGGCGUGAAGAUUGAGGUCGCUGAGUCAUGCUGCUGCUGGAGCUUUAGGACCGGUGGUUCUGAACCCAAAUGCCUGUGCACAUGGGCUGGCAGCUCCCCUCACAGACGAUGUGGCUGAAAACCCACCAAGACAGAGCUGUGCCCUGAUUCUCCACCGAGUUGGAGCCCUUUUACGUAGUACAACAGAGCAUGCAAAAGACAAUAACAGCAACAAACAAAGUCUUGCAGGCACAGUGUCUGUGGACGGCUUUGGCCAACAGGACAAUCAGGGACACCAGGAGACCCAGAAGCAACAUGGAGCCCAAAGUGAUGACGAAAGGCACGUACCACGCUGAUGGGGAAUACACAUUCUUCCUCAGGAUCUGGUAGAUGAUCCUGGGCUUGAAUGAGAGAAGGG
Molecule: long non-coding RNA, 755 nt
Organism: Hippopotamus amphibius kiboko
Lineage: Eukaryota; Metazoa; Chordata; Mammalia; Artiodactyla; Hippopotamidae
Exons: 3
Source: RefSeq, a predicted model, not a curated record